Molecule: ribosomal RNA, 415 nt
Filed under: Heptacarpus geniculatus
Lineage: Eukaryota; Metazoa; Arthropoda; Malacostraca; Decapoda; Hippolytidae
Description: partial 16S ribosomal RNA
Rfam family: Archaeal large subunit ribosomal RNA
Source: RNAcentral
CGACCGCGGUAUUUUGACCGUGCGAAGGUACACMBAUCAAUAGUCUCUUAAUUAGAGGCUGGAAUGAAUGGUUGCACGAGAAAGAAGCUGUCUCUUCUUUAAGAAUUGACACMBACUUUUAAGUGAAAAGGCUUAAAUAAUCUAAGGGGACGAUAAGACCCUAUAAAACUUUACAAUUUAUGUUCACMBCAUGAAUUUUCGUCUAAAUUAAGUGAAAUAUACUAUUGUUAGGUUGGGGCGACUAUUAUAUAGCACMBUAACAACUGUAAUUUAAAGAAAUAAGUUUAUUUAGUUAAUUGAUCCUUUAAUAAAGAUUAUAAGAUUACACMBCUUUAGGGAUAACAGCGUAAUUUUUUCUGAGAGUUCUUAUCGAUGAAAUUAGUUGCGACCUCGAUGUUGAAUUAACACMBCUUUU